AAUAUUAAUAUAAUUGGUGAG
Molecule: microRNA, 21 nt
Filed under: Brassica rapa (field mustard)
Lineage: Eukaryota; Viridiplantae; Streptophyta; Magnoliopsida; Brassicales; Brassicaceae
Description: bra-miR5712
Source: miRBase by way of RNAcentral